Ixodes scapularis (black-legged tick) is the source of this 82-nucleotide non-coding RNA. The record is from Rfam. Lineage: Eukaryota; Metazoa; Arthropoda; Arachnida; Ixodida; Ixodidae.
GCAGUCGUGGUCAAGUGGUUAAGGUGAUAGACUAGAAAUCCAUUGGGGUCUCCCCGCACAGGUUCGAAUCCUGUUGACUGCG